UGACCUCUAUUUUCCCAGGAACAUAUAGGCCCUCCCUAACAGAACAUCAGCUAAAGCUGCCAUGGUCUAGUCUGAACUAACUAGUAUUCCCAGCUCAGCAACAGGCUGAAAACAAAGCAGCCCAGGCCUCCAAGGGGUAUUUGCAUGUCAUACAAAGGAAUUGUUGUAAGGGAGCACAACAGAGGGUGGAGGUGAAAGCUUCGGGGCAGACUGCCUGUUGAAACCUCUGGGCACAAAGACACAUCAUUCAGGCCAGAGUAGUGUGUCAGAAGCCACCACCAUCUGGCAGGUGUGAGGUUUCUGACCCUCAGAAAUGUUGUAAAGUAGCCAAAACAAACAAAAGAGAAACCCAUAUUGUGAAGCUGUCAACAUCCUGUCCAGCGCCAUAAUUUGGCUGUCUGGUCUGGGGAGUACAAUGAAGGCUCUCUCAUUGCCUUCUCCCACAGCCAUCAGGCCUACACACCCUUCCUGGCUUCCUCAUUCCACAAACUAAUCUUGGGCUUCCACAAGAGAGGGGACUUUGGAGACAAGCUGGAGGUGAUGAAGGUGUGGCUUGGAUCUGGAGAAUGGGGGCAAAAAUGGGCUUUGUUCAGGGGCUUCCCAAACUGGGGUACACAUACCCUCAAGGAGUACAACAGGCUUCUCUAAAAGCAUGGGGAAUAUCUACAAUUUUCAAAUCCUAAAAGCAGCAAGUGAAAAUGGGGACAGGAAGAAGAGGAAGGCUGCCUUCAUAACUUAAUGGAAGAAAUAAGGAU
Phascolarctos cinereus (koala) is the source of this 755-nucleotide long non-coding RNA. RefSeq lists it as uncharacterized. NCBI's taxonomy places the organism in Eukaryota, Metazoa, Chordata, Mammalia, Diprotodontia, Phascolarctidae. The record is from RefSeq and is a predicted model, not a curated record.